This 843-nucleotide long non-coding RNA is filed under the name Homo sapiens (human). RNAcentral's name for it is "non-protein coding lnc-AADAT-7:1". The record is from RNAcentral. Lineage: Eukaryota; Metazoa; Chordata; Mammalia; Primates; Hominidae.
CAGGACCACUCUCAGAAACAGGUGAACAGGUGGGUGUGGAUCUGAGUGAGGUGAUCACCACCAAAGUUCAACAAUCAGGACAACAGAGUAGAGACUGGUGAGCAUGUAAGAGGCAACACUGCCUAUAUCACACAGAAGGGCUGACAAGAAAUUAAGGAUAACUCAGCGACCUCAAUGGUCAACACUUGUGAAAUUACAUCAUCAUCCAGAGUGAUGUUCCCAUAUGCCUAACGAGAUAGAAGGAACAUGAGCUGUGCUCUAAUUCUGCAAAAAUUGUAACCAAUAUGCUUUCAGUUGUUGGGGUGGAUCACAUAUUUACGAUGGAGGUGCUUUAUGGAUAACCCUAAACACUGCAGUGGAUUCACGAAAAAUAUUAUAGAAUGAAAGAACUGUAUCAUUACUUCCCCUCAUGCAACCGGUUCCAAAACUGUUACCUAAUGCAGGUAAACAAAUUCAAUGCUGAAUUCACUUUGAGUGAUAAAGGGAGAAAGAAAGUCAAUGGAUGGAUAGGGUGGUUUUGUUUGGUGAUCUUAAAAGUGUGUGACUAUCCUCAUGAAUAAAAAGGCUGACAAAUGUAGCCAAUAUGUCACACUGUAGACAGGCUAUUCUUAGCUGGAAUCAUGAAAGUUUAAGAUAUUCUUGCUCAUGAAGACUUCUCUGUCUAGUUAUUUUCAGAAUAAAUAAGGCUGCCUUAAGCCUGUCAAUGUCAAAAAUACAGUUUCCAAAGAGACAAAAUGAAAGUUCAGGAUUCAGGCUGUUGCUAUUUUAAUGAUCUUGAUAAGCUGAUCUAGAACUCACAGAGAGAGAUUUAUGCCUUACCUAUUUAACCAUGUCUCACUGUAA